Molecule: long non-coding RNA, 1368 nt
Organism: Grammomys surdaster
Lineage: Eukaryota; Metazoa; Chordata; Mammalia; Rodentia; Muridae
Exons: 2
Source: RefSeq, a predicted model, not a curated record
AGGUGGGCAUGAUUGAAAGGUGAGGGUGGAGUCUUCUAUUAGAGCUACCUGAAGUUACAACAUGUGUAGUAGCAAUGCUCCCACCAAUUCAGACUACUAAACAGCAAUCUCUGGUGUCUGAUAUGGGACACUUCCCUUCAAGCUGUUGCUCACAGGAGUUCAAGAGACUCCCCAAAGAAUAAAAAGAUGUGGAAGCUUAUAACUUGAAGUGAAAAUUAAAAGCAGACCAGCUUGAAGGUGGUAGGUGAUAAAAAAAAGAAAACACUGACAGUUGCGGAAUGACUAAUGCCCUCUGAAUCAAUUUGAUAUGGAGUAUAAAGGAGACUUGGCAUCCUGGUAUGAACCACAGGCUUUGAAACAACUCAUGGAGGAUGGUGCUAUUACUGAGUUAGAAGACAUAGGAGGAGAGAUGAGUGUCAUUUGAGGAGCUGAGUUGAAAUACCUUACUGGACUCAUAGAAUCGAUAAGGCAGAGAGAGACCCGAGCAGAGAUAUGAAUUUGAUAGCAAGUACUAUUGUGCUUUUCAUGAGGAAAAUGUUAAGACUGUAAAGGCUCAAAAAGAGACAAGGCAGGCACAUAAUCAACUAUGAAGAGGCAGGAAAACAAAGACUAAAUACAAAAAGAGAUGUCGCUGAGACAUCAGCAAAAUAUAAAGCAAAGUCUCACAAAAGCCAAAGGAUCAGAAAAGUUCUAGAAAUAACUCCUGUAUGCUGAGUAUACUAAGCCUAGAAAUGCUGAGAGGUAGAAAUGCUGAAACCAGAUGGGUCUGGGGGUAAAGAGGGCAUAGGAGACAGAGAUGGCAGCAUCUACAAAAAGUUCUGAAAAGUUGCAUAUAGGAGGAGCUAUCAGGUCUAGGACCUCUGAAAUGUGGUAAAGGACAAAAAACUUAAAAUUGUAUUGUUUAUCCAUUUAUAAGUAAACAAUUCAACAGUGUACAUAUAUUCAUGCUUUUCUACAGCAGAUCUCUAGCAAGUUUUUGUGUUGCAAAACUAAAAACUCCAUGUUUACUAAACAAUAAAUUCCCAUAUCCCUUUCUUUCAAGCUCCUGAAAUCACCAUUCUGUUUCUCUGAAUUCGGCUGUUAGAUACUCCAUACAGCUUUUCAAACAUUGGAGAGAAGAAAGAUGUAGAAGUAAAUGGAAGUUCACAGACUCAAUGGACUUUAAAGAAGACAUUAUGAUGCCUUGAUAGUAGCAAACAGUUGUUAAAAUCUAAUGUUAACUACUGGUGUUUAUUUUUCUGUCUCUGUUCUUCAUUCAUGAGGUAUUUUGACUGCCCAACCUAUGAAAAAUGAAAAAGAAAAUGUUUUUCUAUGGAAAAAUGUUUUUUAGUGGAUUAAAAGUUGAAGCCAAAGAAAUUGGCACUCAAA